Molecule: ribosomal RNA, 588 nt
Filed under: uncultured bacterium
Lineage: Bacteria
Description: bacterial SSU rRNA
Rfam family: Bacterial small subunit ribosomal RNA
Source: RNAcentral
CUCCUACGGGAGGCAGCAGUGGGGAAUCUUGCGCAAUGGGCGAAAGCCUGACGCAGCGACGCCGCGUGAGUGAUGAAGGCCUUCGGGUUGUAAAGCUCUGUGGGGAGAGAAGAAUUAGUGCGGGCUAAUACUCCGCAUGAUGACGGUAUCUCCUUAGCAAGCACCGGCUAACUCUGUGCCAGCAGCCGCGGUAAGACAGAGGGUGCAAACGUUGUUCGGAAUUACUGGGCGUAAAGCGUGUGUAGGCGGCCAUGUGAGUUGGAUGUGAAAGCCCCGGGCUCAACCCGGGAAGUGCAUUCAAAACUGCGUGGCUUGAGUACUGGAGAGGUUGGUAGAAUUCUCGGUGUAGAGGUGAAAUUCGUAGAUAUCGAGAGGAAUACCGGUGGCGAAGGCGGCCAACUGGACAGAUACUGACGCUGAGACACGAAAGCGUGGGGAGCAAACAGGAUUAGAUACCCUGGUAGUCCACGCCGUAAACGAUGGGUGCUAGGUGUCACUGGCAUUGACUCCGGUGGUGCCGUAGCUAACGCAUUAAGCACCCCGCCUGGGAAGUACGGCCGCAAGGCUAAAACUCAAAGGAAUUGACGG